UUUAGCGUAGCUCAAAAAGAGCGCCGGCCUUUUAAGCCGGCAGUGCCGGCAGGCCGCUAAAA
Molecule: transfer RNA, 62 nt
Filed under: Spathoderma clenchi
Lineage: Eukaryota; Metazoa; Mollusca; Caudofoveata; Chaetodermatida; Prochaetodermatidae
Description: tRNA-Lys
Rfam family: tRNA
About the family: Transfer RNA (tRNA) molecules are approximately 80 nucleotides in length.
Source: RNAcentral